RNAcentral lists this unclassified non-coding RNA (362 nucleotides) under uncultured bacterium. Its description in RNAcentral is "contains 16S-23S intergenic spacer region". The record is from RNAcentral.
UCCCCGUUACCGGGGCAGUUUAGCUAGAGAAAUUCAACUAACUAAAGGGGUUGCGCUCGUUGAUGGACUUAACCAAACAUCUCACGACACGAGCUGACGACGGCCAUGCAGCACCUGUCACUGCGGCCCGAAGGCACAUUUUCCUUUCGGAAAACUUGGCAGGAUGUCAAACCUUGGUAAGGUUCUUCGCUUAUCAUCGAAUUAAACAACACGCUCCACCGCUUGUGCGGGUCCCCGUCAAUUCCUUUAUGUUUUAGUCUUGCGACCGUACUCCACAGGCGGGAUGCUUAACGCGUUAGCUUCGCUACUACGAGGGUCGAUACUCAUAACAGCUAGCAUCCAUCGUUUACGGCGUGGACUAC